This is a long non-coding RNA of Stegostoma tigrinum, 809 nucleotides long. RefSeq lists it as uncharacterized. The record is from RefSeq and is a predicted model, not a curated record. Lineage: Eukaryota; Metazoa; Chordata; Chondrichthyes; Orectolobiformes; Stegostomatidae. The transcript has 6 exons.
AAUCAUCAUUUCAGACGACCGGAUGUCAUUCUCCUAUUUGGUGUCCAGUGAAAGGGCGGACGGUGCUGAUGAGUUGAGUGUUACCCCAAUGGGAGCACUGUAGCUGGUAGAAGACUGCUUGCUUUCAGUGGAGGGUCUCAGACCUUAAGCAGCUCUGUUAGAUCUUCAUUCAAACUUCACUAUCACAGCAUAGCCAGCCCUGACAGCAGCUGCCUGACUCUAAGGUAACAAGGACAUCGGUGGAUUAGCAAAGACAGGAAGAUAAAUGAUGUUAACACGAUAGAGGACGGCUGCUGGCUACCCAGAGGUUGGCAACCACUGAGUCUGUUGGUCAAAACCCAUUCCUUGGGUCAUCCAGCAGUGAGAAGACAGUAGGAACCGCAGAUGCUGGAGAAUCUGAGAUAACAAGGUGUACAGCUGGAUGAACACAGCAGGCCGAGCAGCUUCAGAGGAGCAGGAAGGCUGACGUUUCAGGCCUAGACGCUUCUUCAGAAAAAUUACUUUCUGGAGGGAGGAGGAUAACUUCUUCAAGAGGCUAAUGGACCUGCAUCAAAAGGCUUCCAGGCUUCACAGUUGCUGGGUGCCAGGUAGGGAGAGGAGAUCACCAUUCCCUCCAAGGCCUCAAAGAGCAACCUCACAGUCCUACCAUGGUCAGUAAAACAAGUCCCGACAAUUUCUACCACUCUGGGUAACAUUCCCAACAGCGUAUGUAUCACAUCAUGUUCUGAGGAAAGGUCACCAGACCCGAAACGUUAACUCUGUUUUCUCCUUCACAGAUGCUGCCAGACCCGUUGAGCUUCUCCAGUGAU